GUCCAUGCUGUAAACGAUGGACACUUGUUGUUGGAGGUAUUGACCCCUUCAGUGACGAAGCUAACGCGUUAAGUGUCCCGCCUGGGAAGUACGGUCGCAAGAUUAAAACUCAAAGAAAUUGACGGGGCCCGCACAAGCGGUGGAGUAUGUGGUUUAAUUCGAUGCAACGCGAAAAACCUUACCUGGGCUCGAACUGCAGGGGAAUAUUCUAGAGAUAGAAUAGCCUUCGGGCCGCUGCAGAGGUGCUGCAUGGCUGUCGU
RNAcentral lists this ribosomal RNA (260 nucleotides) under uncultured bacterium. RNAcentral describes it as "partial 16S ribosomal RNA". It matches the Rfam family "Bacterial small subunit ribosomal RNA", at positions 793 to 1055 of the family's 1533-position model. The record is from RNAcentral.